This is a non-coding RNA of Punica granatum (pomegranate), 508 nucleotides long. The record is from RefSeq and is a predicted model, not a curated record. Lineage: Eukaryota; Viridiplantae; Streptophyta; Magnoliopsida; Myrtales; Lythraceae.
CUCAUUUUCGCCACGAGAGGAUGAAGCUGUGGGUGGACGAAAGAAGAGAACAUUCCCGAUAAUGAAAACCCCUUCUUCAUCUUCAUCUUCUUCUAAUUCUGCUUCUUCGACCUUCAACUUCUUACUGGAGGAGAAAAGGGAAAACGGGUCGAUUCCCGUGAAAGCUAUCGACAUGGCGUGACGGACAUGGACAGCCUGCAGAUCAAUCGUAUGUCUCGCGUCUUGCCAUUAGAUCAAUCACAGCAUGUUGGUACCGUCACGCUUCAUCGUCAUGUGUUUAGGUCACAGCCUAGCGAAGAAUCAGCGGUGCGUGGUGCAUGUAUAAAUAUCGCGAGCUAUUGUUGCUCCUAGAGCUAGCUAGCACAUGGACAAAAGCGACUUGGCCUCGGUGAAGGCGACGCGGAAUGAUAGUGGAACUCGUGAGUCGUAGCCAAAGGCCCAAAGCUGUUGUGUCAUAUAUAUAGAGUUACAUGUAUCAGUUGAGGAGGCCAUGAUCCAAAUUGAGAAA